This 497-nucleotide ribosomal RNA is filed under the name uncultured bacterium. RNAcentral's name for it is "partial 16S ribosomal RNA". It matches the Rfam family "Bacterial small subunit ribosomal RNA", at positions 28 to 507 of the family's 1533-position model. The record is from RNAcentral.
GACGAACGCUGGCGGCGUGCCUAAUACAUGCAAGUUGAGCGCUGAAGGUUGGUACUUGUACCGACUGGAUGAGCAGCGAACGGGUGAGUAACGCGUGGGGCAUCUGCCUUUGAGCGGGGUACAACAUUUGGAAACGAAUGCUAAUCCCGCAUAAAAACUUUAAACACAAGUUUUAAGUUUGAAAGAUGCAAUUGCAUCACUCAAAGAUGAUCCCGCGUUGUAUUAGCUAGUUGGUGAGGUAAAGGCUCACCAAGGCGGUGAUACAUAGCCGACCUGAGAGGGUGGUCGGCCACAUUGGGACGGAGACACGGCACAAACUCCUACGGGAGGCAGCAGUAGGGCAUCGUGGGCAAGGGACGAAAGUCUGACCGAGCAACGCCGCGUGAGUGAAGAAGGUUUUCGGAUCGUGAAACUCUGUUGGUAGGGAAGAACGUUGGUGAGAGUGGAAAGCUCAGCAAGUGACGGUAACUACCCAGAAAGGGACGGCUAACUACGUG